GCCUCUGGAGAAUCCCGGUUACGGGUGCCGAAGGGGCAAGGCGCGCCGCCUUGCUGCGGCGUUGUCGAAACUCUCAGGCCAAAGGACAGAGCA
This 93-nucleotide non-coding RNA is filed under the name uncultured Gordonibacter sp. Its description in RNAcentral is "Glycine riboswitch". It matches the Rfam family "Glycine riboswitch aptamer", at positions 9 to 86 of the family's 94-position model. From Rfam's summary of the family: This family represents the bacterial glycine riboswitch. Lineage: Bacteria; Bacillati; Actinomycetota; Coriobacteriia; Eggerthellales; Eggerthellaceae. The record is from RNAcentral.